UAGUCCUACGGGGCGCAGCAGUGAGGAAUAUUGGUCAAUGGGCGGAAGCCUGAACCAGCCAAGUCGCGUGAGGGAAGACGGUCCUAUGGAUUGUAAACCUCUUUAGGCGGGGAGCAAUUCCGGGCACGCGUGCCCGGAGGGAGAGUACCCGCAGAAUAAGCAUCGGCUAACUCCGUGCCAGCAGCCGCGGUAAUACGGAGGAUUCGAGUGUUAUCCGGAUUUAUUGGGUUUUAAGGGUGC
Molecule: ribosomal RNA, 240 nt
Filed under: uncultured bacterium
Lineage: Bacteria
Description: partial 16S ribosomal RNA
Rfam family: Bacterial small subunit ribosomal RNA
Source: RNAcentral